Molecule: transfer RNA, 72 nt
Filed under: Nippostrongylus brasiliensis
Lineage: Eukaryota; Metazoa; Nematoda; Chromadorea; Rhabditida; Heligmosomidae
Rfam family: tRNA
About the family: Transfer RNA (tRNA) molecules are approximately 80 nucleotides in length. Their secondary structure includes four short double-helical elements and three loops (D, anti-codon, and T loops). Further hydrogen bonds mediate the characteristic L-shaped molecular structure. tRNAs have two regions of fundamental functional importance: the anti-codon, which is responsible for specific mRNA codon recognition, and the 3' end, to which the tRNAs corresponding amino acid is attached (by aminoacyl-tRNA synthetases). tRNAs cope with the degeneracy of the genetic code in two manners: having more than one tRNA (with a specific anti-codon) for a particular amino acid; and 'wobble' base-pairing, i.e. permitting non-standard base-pairing at the 3rd anti-codon position.
Source: Rfam by way of RNAcentral
GCCUCAGUGGCAUAGUGGUUACUGCACCGCCCAGGAAAGAUUGAGACGCGGGUUCGAAUCCCGCCUGGGAUG